Molecule: unclassified non-coding RNA, 356 nt
Filed under: fungal sp.
Lineage: Eukaryota; Fungi
Description: partial internal transcribed spacer region
Rfam family: Eukaryotic small subunit ribosomal RNA (bases 1-46)
Source: RNAcentral
AAGUCGUAACAAGGUUUCCGUAGGUGAACCUGCGGAAGGAUCAUUAACACGUCUAUUUAUUAUCCAAUAUCUAAAACAAACGCGAACUAAAACCCCGCCCUAUUAUCGCUAAGGUCGAAUCUAUGGGGAUUGUGUGUGAUUACUCAUAUACAGUCUCUCAUAGAGUUGACUAUGAUAGGCUAUUUUUAUAUUUAUAAUUUAAACCUAUAUAUACCGAAUUGACCUAAUACUAAGACAUUCUAGUCUUCAAAUCAAUGGAUAUAUUAGUGAUAAUAUAUUCAAUGUUUGAAUACUGCUUGUUGUUAUAUUUUACGAAAUGUAAAGAACAACUCUUAGCAAUGGAUAUCUUGGUUCUC